This 509-nucleotide ribosomal RNA is filed under the name uncultured Actinomycetes bacterium. RNAcentral's name for it is "bacterial SSU rRNA". It matches the Rfam family "Bacterial small subunit ribosomal RNA", at positions 392 to 897 of the family's 1533-position model. Lineage: Bacteria; Bacillati; Actinomycetota; Actinomycetes. The record is from RNAcentral.
CGACGCCGCGUGAGGGAAGAAGGCCUUCGGUUGUAAACCUCUUCAGCAGGACGAAGCUACUCGGGUUAACAGCCAGAGGGUGACGGUACCUGUAGAAGAAGCCCCGGCUAACUACGUGCCAGCAGCCGCGGUAAUACGUAGGGGGCAAGCGUUGUCCGGAUUUACUGGGCGUAAAGAGCGUGUAGGCGGCCAAGCAGGUCUGUUGUGAAAACUGGAGGCUCAACCUCCAGACGUCGACAGAAACCGCUUGGCUAGAGUCCGGAAGAGGAGAGUGGAAUUCCUGGUGUAGCGGUGAAAUGCGCAGAUAUCAGGAAGAACACCAAUGGCGAAGGCAGCUCUCUGGGACGGUACUGACGCUGAGACGCGAAAGCGUGGGGAGCGAACAGGAUUAGAUACCCUGGUAGUCCACGCCGUAAACGAUGGGUGCUAGGUGUGGGGGGUGUCGACUCCCUCCGUGCCGCAGCUAACGCAUUAAGCACCCCGCCUGGGGAGUACGGCCGCAAGGCUAA